This 497-nucleotide ribosomal RNA is filed under the name uncultured bacterium. RNAcentral's name for it is "partial 16S ribosomal RNA". It matches the Rfam family "Bacterial small subunit ribosomal RNA", at positions 28 to 507 of the family's 1533-position model. The record is from RNAcentral.
GAUGAACGCUGGCGGCGUGCCUAAUACAUGCAAGUCGAGCGAACGGACGAGAAGCUUGCUUCUCUGAUGUUAGCGGCGGACGGGUGAGUAACACGUGGAUAACCUACCUAUACGACUGGGAUACCUUCGGGAAACCGUAGCUAAUACCGGAUAAUAUUUUGACCCGCAUGGUUCAAAAGUGAAAGACGGUCUUGCUGUCACUUAUAGAUGGAUCCGCGCUGCAUUAGCUAGUUGGUAAGGUAACGGCUUACCAAGGCAACGAUGCAUAGCCGACCUGAGAGGGUGAUCGGCCACACUGGAACUGAGACACGGUCCAGACUCCUACGGGAGGCAGCAGUAGGGAAUCUUCCGCAAUGGGCGAAAGCCUGACGGAGCAACGCCGCGUGAGUGAUGAAGGUCUUCGGAUCGUAAAACUCUGUUAUUAGGGAAGAACAUAUGUGUAAGUAACUGGGCACAUCUUGACGGUACCUAAUCAGAAAGCCACGGCUAACUACGUG